RNAcentral lists this ribosomal RNA (500 nucleotides) under uncultured bacterium. Its description in RNAcentral is "bacterial SSU rRNA". It matches the Rfam family "Bacterial small subunit ribosomal RNA", at positions 30 to 525 of the family's 1533-position model. The record is from RNAcentral.
AUUGAACGCUGGCGGCAGGCUUAACACAUGCAAGUCGAGCGGUAGCAGUCCUUCGGGAGCUGACGAGCGGCGGACGGGUGAGUAAUGCAUGGGAAUCUGCCCGGUAGAGGGGGAUAGCUCGGGGAAACUCGAAUUAAUACCGCAUACGCCCUACGGGGGAAAGCAGGGGAUCUUCGGACCUUGCGCUAUCGGAUGAGCCCAUGUCGGAUUAGCUAGUUGGUAGGGUAAAGGCCUACCAAGGCGACGAUCCGUAACUGGUCUGAGAGGAUGAUCAGUCACACUGGAACUGAGACACGGUCCAGACUCCUACGGGAGGCAGCAGUGGGGAAUAUUGGACAAUGGGGGCAACCCUGAUCCAGCCAUGCCGCGUGUGCGAUGAAGGCCUUCGGGUUGUAAAGCACUUUCAGUGGGGAGGAAAGGUGCCGUGCUAAUAUCGCGGUGCUGUGACGUUACCCACAGAAGAAGCACCGGCAAACUCCGUGCCAGCAGCCGCGGUAAUA